GUUGUAUGGUUAAGUGACUAAGCGUACACGGUGGAUGCCUGGGCAGUCAGAGGCGAUGAAGGACGUACUAACUUGCGAUAAGCGCAGAUAAGGCAGUAAGAGCCGUUUGAGUCUGCGAUUUCCGAAUGGGGAAACCCAACUGCAUAAGCAGUUACUGUUAACUGAAUACAUAGGUUAACAGAGCAAACCGGGGGAACUGAAACAUCUAAGUACCCCGAGGAGAAGAAAUCAACCGAGAUUCCGGUAGUAGCGGCGAGCGAACCUGGAUUAGCCCUUAAGCACUCGGUGAAGUAGGUGAACAAGCUGGAAAGCUUGGCGAUACAGGGUGAUAGCCCCGUAACCGACGCUUCAUCGAGCGUGAAAUCGAGUAGGGCGGGACACGUGAUAUCCUGUCUGAAUAUGGGGGGACCAUCCUCCAAGGCUAAAUACUCCUGACUGACCGAUAGUGAACCAGUACCGUGAGGGAAAGGCGAAAAGAACCCCUGUGAGGGGAGUGAAAUAGAACCUGAAACCGUGUACGUACAAGCAGUAGGAGCACCUUCGUGGUGUGACUGCGUACCUUUUGUAUAAUGGGUCAGCGACUUAUAUUCAGUGGCAAGGUUAACCGUAUAGGGGAGCCGUAGCGAAAGCGAGUCUUAACUGGGCGCUCAGUCUCUGGAUAUAGACCCGAAACCGGGUGAUCUAGCCAUGGGCAGGUUGAAGGUUGAGUAACAUCAACUGGAGGACCGAACCGACUAAUGUUGAAAAAUUAGCGGAUGACUUGUGGCUAGGGGUGAAAGGCCAAUCAAACUCGGAGAUAGCUGGUUCUCCCCGAAAGCUAUUUAGGUAGCGCCUCGGACGAAUACUACUGGGGGUAGAGCACUGUUAAGGCUAGGGGGUCAUCCCGACUUACCAACCCUUUGCAAACUCCGAAUACCAGUAAGUACUAUCCGGGAGACACACGGCGGGUGCUAACGUCCGUCGUGGAGAGGGAAACAACCCAGACCGCCAGCUAAGGUCCCAAAGUAUUGCUAAGUGGGAAACGAUGUGGGAAGGCUCAGACAGCUAGGAUGUUGGCUUAGAAGCAGCCAUCAUUUAAAGAAAGCGUAAUAGCUCACUAGUCGAGUCGGCCUGCGCGGAAGAUGUAACGGGGCUAAGCAAUACACCGAAGCUGCGGCAAUAUCUUUUAGAUAUUGGGUAGGGGAGCGUUCUGUAAGCCGUUGAAGGUGGAUCGUAAGGUUUGCUGGAGGUAUCAGAAGUGCGAAUGCUGACAUGAGUAACGACAAAGGGGGUGAAAAACCUCCUCGCCGGAAGACCAAGGGUUCCUGUCCAACGUUAAUCGGGGCAGGGUGAGUCGACCCCUAAGGUGAGGCCGAAAGGCGUAAUCGAUGGGAAACGGGUUAAUAUUCCCGUACUUCUGACUAUUGCGAUGGGGGGACGGAGAAGGCUAGGUG
This 1433-nucleotide ribosomal RNA is filed under the name Vibrio cholerae. RNAcentral's name for it is "partial 23S ribosomal RNA". It matches the Rfam family "Bacterial large subunit ribosomal RNA", at positions 1 to 1488 of the family's 2925-position model. Lineage: Bacteria; Pseudomonadati; Pseudomonadota; Gammaproteobacteria; Vibrionales; Vibrionaceae. The record is from RNAcentral.